GCCUAGAUUAGCAUACGGGGCGGGGCUCGCUGCGCCCCGCCUUCUCUGCGGCUGCACCGCCCCGCGGGGGUUCGGUUCCGAGCGUCGCCUUCCUCUACGGUCUCCGUGUGGAGCCCGGCCGCGGGGUUCUAACGGUCCAGCCCGCAGGGACUCAGGACUGCGGUCUACCCCCGACCUCCUCACACCUUCCGGGGUGACCUGAGGGCGGAGCCUGAGUCCUGUGUCCCCGGUUGCACCGCCCCCAACCACCCCCGUCCCCUGUCGACCCCGUCUCCAGUCUCUUCCAAACCGGCCGGCCCCCGGCCUAGCAAUUCGAGAUUUCUCCCGUGGCUUCCGAGGAAAAGGAGGCCCCUACCCUGUAUCUGUGCCCUCCUUUGCAUCAGGGACCUAAACUGCUGUUUUGGAGAGGUUGUCUCUACCCCUCAGCUUGGUUGGUUUGAAACCCUGCACGACCUGUGAAGUCUUCCCCGGAUGGCUACAUCGUCUGGGGUCCCUUGUCCUGCCUGUACCCACAGCAAGCCCACGAAUCCAGGGCUUCCCUUGUUUCUGGAACAGCACAAGAGGCACAACCAACCAACCAGGCAGCUGCCUCACCAGCAGCCUUCGAGUCACGGCUAACUCUUCAUUACUCACCAGGCCCUGAGGUUCUGUGGCUUCCCAGCUCUCAGCUGUCCCCCACCCCAGCGCCACCGCCCCUCAAAUGGGCCUUCACUUCUGCGCUGGGUCUCCUCACAGCCUCUCACCUGGCUGCCUGCCCAGUCUUCCCCACCCUAUCUCAGGAGAUCUUCCUAACUGGCAGGUCGAGGCACAACUUGGGGCAGCCAGCCCUGCAGGGGAAACUGUAUCCCCCAAGCGACUCCAGCUGGAUGUCAGGCCCUGAGAGAGGCAAGAGGUGGAGGAAGGGGGUGAUCCCAGAGAUGGAGCAGCUCUUCUCACCCACCAGAGCCUUGAGGGCUGCUGUGACA
Bos taurus (domestic cattle) is the source of this 965-nucleotide long non-coding RNA. Lineage: Eukaryota; Metazoa; Chordata; Mammalia; Artiodactyla; Bovidae. The record is from Ensembl.